CUGGCUCAGGACAAACGCUGGCGGAAUGUAUUAGGCAUGCAAGUCGCACGAACCGUUCGGUUAGUGGCGGACGGGUGAGUAACACGUGGGUAACCUGCCUCGUAGUGGGGAAUAACUCGCCGAAAGGCGAGCUAAUACCGCAUAUAACUCCUGGUGAGAAUCCGGGAAGUAAAAGCUCCGGCGCUACGAGAGGGGCCCGCGGCCGAUUAGCUUGUUGGUGGGGUAAUGGCCUACCAAGGCGACGAUCGGUAGCUGGUCUGAGAGGAUGGUCAGCCACACGGGGCAUGAGAAAUGGCCACUACAACCAAGGUAGGCAGCAGGCGCGUAAAUUACCCAAUCCUGACAGAGGGAGGUAGUGACAAUAAAUAACAAUGAAUUUAUGGAAAGUAAGUUGAAUUGGAAUGAGAACAAUAUAAAACCCUUAUCGAGGAACAAUUUCAGGGCAAGUUCUGGUGCCAGCAGCCGCGGUAAUUCCAGCUGAAAAAGCGUAUACGAAUAUUGUUGCAGUUAAAAACGCUCGUAGUUGGAAAG
Molecule: ribosomal RNA, 531 nt
Filed under: uncultured eukaryote
Lineage: Eukaryota
Description: bacterial SSU rRNA
Rfam family: Bacterial small subunit ribosomal RNA
Source: RNAcentral